RNAcentral lists this long non-coding RNA (3215 nucleotides) under Xyrichtys novacula (pearly razorfish). The record is from RNAcentral. Lineage: Eukaryota; Metazoa; Chordata; Actinopteri; Labriformes; Labridae.
GUCUGUGAGGAGGAGAUCCACGCCAUGAUCCACGCCUCCUCCUCCUCCUCCUCCGAGAAGAAACGGUCCAGUUUGUUUUAACCCGGGAUAGUGGGCGUUGUCCCGGCCAAACAACAGCCUGUUUCCGCGGCAGAGUCCCGCGUGGGAGGAGGACCACGGAAACCCGUAAACUCUUUUUACCCACUAAACACAAUAAUACUGAAAUAACGGCCGAGAGAGCGUCUGUCUACAGAAGUUAACCGUGUUUUCUCAAGAAAAAAAACUCAGAUUUUCUGAAUUAAAUCAGAAUUAUAAAUAGUUUAAUAAUCUCCAGGGGGAAUGGCUUUUGUCACAGUAUUCCAGUGCAAAUACAGUAAAAAGAGGAGAUAAAUAAUAGGGAAAAUAAGUAUAAAUAAAGAGAUAAAAUAAGUUUAAAAAAAGAGAUAAAUAGAUAAAAGAAGUCAAAAUAAAUAGAUAAAAUAAGUAAAAAUAAAGAGAUAAUAUACAAGUAUUUACACUGUAUACAACAAAAAAAGUAACCUUUUACGCAAUAAUGGUGUUAUUGUAUGCAUGAGAUAUUUAUUUCAGAAUCAUAAUCAAAUCAUACAUUUAAAAACAAAGAUAAUUAUCUUUAAAAUAUCACAGAAUUUUUCAUGACUGGAUAUUGUUUCCACCAUUUAAUAAUGAUAAUAAUAAUACAUUUUAUUUGUAGUGCUCUUUACAUCAAGAGAUCUCAAAGGGCUACAUCUUAGAAGCAAAGAAAUAUCACAGUAAAGAAAAACAUAAAAACAGGUUAUUGGUUAAAAACAAGAGAAACAUCUUAUUAAAAGAGUAAAAGCAAGAUAUGCAAGUUUAAAAAAAAAAAAAUCUAUGAGGAGGGACCAAAAGUGGGUUGUUAGUGGGUUGUGGUUCCCUCCUCAGGGUGUUGGUGAGGGCGUUCCAAAGGCGUGGGGCAGCGGCCCAUAUCAACCAGAUAAACAUCCAGAAAUUAAGAGAAAAUCAACAUGUUAAAGUUUGAUACAAAACAGGACAUUCAGAAGGAAAGAUGUGAAGAGGCUCACCACUCUGUGAGAGACUGCGUGAGCUAACACUUCAACAGUUUCAGAAUUUAGUUCCUGAGUGGAUUUAUCUUUUAAUUUUUCUCUUUUCGUAUCUAUAAUACGCUGCUGUAAUUUUGGGAUUUCCCCCUGUGGGACUAAUAAAGGAACAUCUUCUUUUGUUCAUCGUUUCCAAGCCAAGAGUAAAAAAAAAAAAACAAUACAAUUAAUAAAAAUAUAAUACAAUGAAGAUAAAGAGCAAAAUGUAAACAAAAGAAAAAUUAAGGAGGCUGAAAUUAGCCCUGUUACACUAAAAGUUUUGUGUGAAAGCAGCACUUUGGUUUUUGUAAAUCAAUCAAUGCAUCCUCCAGAGAAAGGAGGAAAAACCUGAUCUUAUGUUAUCUGCUGAAAAUGUGACAUUCUUCCUGGAAAUCAUGGAUCCUGAAUCUUCUGCUCUAAGGAAGGACCAUUCGGCUUGUUAUCAGUGCAAAAUGACAGAGUGGGUGUUCAGUAAAGACUAAUAGAUCAUCAAAUAGGUUAAAACCCAAACUCUAAAGCAGUGUCGUGUGAGCGUAUUGAACGCCCACCAUGUGUCAGUUUUUCCUUCUCUUCAUUGUAAACAUCCCUCAGUUUGUCCCUGUGACUGGACAUCAUUUAAGACAGCUGAAAACAAUUACAGACCGACAGAAAGCACAUAAACUUCUGCGACCAAAGAGCGACAAAAACAGCUUCAUUUGGCAGAGCUGCAGAUCUGUGAGGCCUCUGCUGUCAUUAAAGUUUGUUUUUUAAUCUCUGACGGAGGAAAAAGUCUCAUUUAAAACCUUGAACGGUAAGGGUUCGCAGAUACGACAGUGCUGAGGCUGAGGAGUCAACAGGAAAAGGCCUCCUCCCCCUCCUCCCUCCUUCAGGAUCAGGGUUGUUUUGCCCCGGAGGUGUCGUUUGAUCUGUGGUCCUCGGCUCUCAGUAAAAGGAGUUUUUGUUUCCUGUGAACUCAGAGCCACAUCAGUCAGAGCUCAUUAAAGCUCAUUAAAGCUCCUCUGAGAGCAGCUGCAGCAGAGCGGGGAUCAAACCCGUGAAUGAUCAGGUACACUACAGCACGGACGCUGCACUGGCUCAAUGUUAUUAUCAUAUUUACUGAAGGACUGGAGGACUUUGUGCAGAAACUUCAUCUUUAAAAAAAGCAUCAAAGAGCUCCUGAUGGUUCAAACACAGAGUUGGUUUUAUGAACACAGCUCUCGUACGGUGAGACACACGGACAGAUAUGAUAAAGUCUAUUCUGUCAGAUUAGGAGGACAGGCGAGUUUAAAGGGAUAUUCCGACAUGAAAUUAAUUCAGGGUCAAACCCACCGUAACACCGAGUUAGGACCCCCCCUCCAGAGAUGAAUGUUGUCGACCGCUUGCUUCUCCAGUUAUACCAACUUUAGUAACGACCGCAGGAUAGCAAUACAGAGAGCCACGCCCCCAACCAAAACGCCACUCUAUAGCCACAAAUAAUGCUCAGAACAGCACCUAACUUCAUCAACAGGACAUAUAGGGUCACAGACAUAGUACUAGACACCAAACAUCUUUUUAACUUUGACUCAUUUCUUUAGCAAAGAGACUAAACACAACUCACCUACUCUCUUCCAGCAGACGCUUGUUUGUAGAGAGACCUCAGGCCAGUCCAUUACAGACUACAGCGGGGUGCCGCAGCUCAAGGAAGAACAUUUAUGAUCAUUUCUUCAUGGAAAUACAAUCAGACCGAGACGCUAAGACAGAAGAACUACCGCGUCUGUAAAAUGAUUAAUAUGAUGAUUAUUACUUCAAGGAAAUGAUAAAGAAAUGAUCAUAAAUGUUCUUCCUGGAGCUGCAUCACCCCGCUGUAGUCCGUAAUAUCCCUGGAAUAUCCCUUUAACAUAUUAAACAACACUUAAAAUCAGGGUUCGAGUGUUUAUUUUCUUAAAAUUUGUAAAGCUCUUUGUUCUGAACUGUUUUCUAUUAACAGUGCUGUCCAAAUUUAGUCUAACUGAUCGUUAUUUUUUUAUUCAUAUAACCCAGAAGGUUCUGGGGGAAACGCUCCCUUGCUGACUCCUUGUAUCUGUGAAACGAUGGUGGCCUUAGCAUGAAAAUUUUCUUUAUAUACGACUUUAAAAUUAGCUCUGAUAAUAAAAUCUAAUUUUAAAACAUGUUAACUUCAACUCCCUAAACUGUCACACUCCA